AGUACUCGAGUGGCGAACGGGUGAGUAACACGUGGGUAAUCUGCCCUGCACUCUGGGAUAAGCCUGGGAAACUGGGUCUAAUACUGGAUAUGACCUUUCUCCUUAUGGGGUUUGGUGGAAAGUUUUUCGGUGUAGGAUGAGCCCGCGGCCUAUCAGCUUGUUGGUGGGGUGAUGGCCUACCAAGGCGACGACGGGUAGCCGGCCUGAGAGGGUGAUCGGCCACAUUGGGACUGAGAUACGGCCCAG
This 246-nucleotide ribosomal RNA is filed under the name uncultured Actinomycetales bacterium. Its description in RNAcentral is "partial 16S ribosomal RNA". It matches the Rfam family "Bacterial small subunit ribosomal RNA", at positions 86 to 334 of the family's 1533-position model. The record is from RNAcentral. Lineage: Bacteria; Bacillati; Actinomycetota; Actinomycetes; Actinomycetales.